RNAcentral lists this ribosomal RNA (450 nucleotides) under uncultured bacterium. RNAcentral's name for it is "partial 16S ribosomal RNA". It matches the Rfam family "Bacterial small subunit ribosomal RNA", at positions 354 to 796 of the family's 1533-position model. The record is from RNAcentral.
GUGGGGAAUAUUGGACAAUGGGCGAAAGCCUGAUCCAGCCAUGCCGCGUGUGUGAAGAAGGUCUUCGGAUUGUAAAGCACUUUAAGUUGGGAGGAAGGGCAGUAAGUUAAUACCUUGCUGUUUUGACGUUACCGACAGAAUAAGCACCGGCUAACUUCGUGCCAGCAGCCGCGGUAAUACGAAGGGUGCAAGCGUUAAUCGGAAUUACUGGGCGUAAAGCGCGCGGAGGUGGUUUUGUAAGGUGGAGGUGAAAUCCCCGGGCUCAACCUGGGAACUGCCACCAAAAGUGCAUGACUAGAGUACGGUAGAGGGUAGUGGAAUUUCCUGUGUAGCGGUGAAAUGCGUAGAUAUAGGAAGGAACACCAGUGGCGAAGGCGACUACCUGGACUGAUACUGACACUGAGGUGCGAAAGCGUGGGGAGCAAACAGGAUUAGAUACCCUUGUAGUCC